GCCUGGGUGGCUCAGUCAGUUAAGCAUCUGACUUCGGCUCAGGUCAUGAUCUCACAAUUCACAGUCUGUGGGUUCGAGCCCUGCAUCAGGCU
RNAcentral lists this transfer RNA (92 nucleotides) under Felis catus (domestic cat). It matches the Rfam family "tRNA". Rfam says of the family: Transfer RNA (tRNA) molecules are approximately 80 nucleotides in length. Their secondary structure includes four short double-helical elements and three loops (D, anti-codon, and T loops). Lineage: Eukaryota; Metazoa; Chordata; Mammalia; Carnivora; Felidae. The record is from Rfam by way of RNAcentral.